AAAAAGACAAACUCUAGGUUUCCGUGUCCAACUUUGAUUGUCCAUCUUAUAUGAAAUUUUUUUAUAAUUUGUAUUUUCAUUGUCGUUAGAUGAUAAAACAUGAUUAAUAUUUUAUAUGUGACUUGUCUUUUUAAUUUUUUUAUAAUUUUUUUAAAUAAGAUAGAUGGUUAAACGUUGGACACGGAAAUCAGGGUUUGUCUUUUU
Non-coding RNA from Oryza glumipatula, 204 nucleotides. NCBI's taxonomy places the organism in Eukaryota, Viridiplantae, Streptophyta, Magnoliopsida, Poales, Poaceae. The record is from Rfam.